AUUGAACGCUGGCGGCAGGCCUAACACAUGCAAGUCGAGCGGAUGAAGGGAGCUUGCUCCUGGAUUCGGCGGCGGACGGGUGAGUAAUGCCUAGGAAUCUGCCUGGUAGUGGGGGAUAACGUCCGGAAACGGGCGCUAAUACCGCAUACGUCCUGAGGGAGAAAGUGGGGGAUCUUCGGACCUCACGCUAUCAGAUGAGCCUAGGUCGGAUUAGCUAGUUGGUGGGGUAAAGGCCUACCAAGGCGACGAUCCGUAACUGGUCUGAGAGGAUGAUCAGUCACACUGGAACUGAGACACGGUCCAGACUCCUACGGGAGGCAGCAGUGGGGAAUAUUGGACGAUGGGCGAAAGCCUGAUCCAGCCAUGCCGCGUGUGUGAAGAAGGUCUUCGGAUUGUAAAGCACUUUAAGUUGGAGGAAGGGCAGUAAGUUAAUACCUUGCUGUUUUGACGUUACCAACAGAAUAAGCACCGGCUAACUUCGUG
This 483-nucleotide ribosomal RNA is filed under the name uncultured bacterium. RNAcentral's name for it is "partial 16S ribosomal RNA". It matches the Rfam family "Bacterial small subunit ribosomal RNA", at positions 30 to 507 of the family's 1533-position model. The record is from RNAcentral.